RNAcentral lists this transfer-messenger RNA (402 nucleotides) under Flavobacteriaceae. RNAcentral describes it as "Aquimarina sp008370685 Standard tmRNA". It matches the Rfam family "transfer-messenger RNA". Rfam says of the family: Bacterial tmRNA, also known as 10Sa RNA or SsrA, is named for its dual tRNA and mRNA-like properties. Its role is to liberate the mRNA from a stalled ribosome. RNAcentral also lists the same sequence under 1 other name. Lineage: Bacteria; Pseudomonadati; Bacteroidota; Flavobacteriia; Flavobacteriales. The record is from RNAcentral.
GGGGUCGACUGGUUUUGACAGCGAGAUUAAUGUGGUGGUAAGCACGCCGAGCUAUGAGGUUAAUGCUCGUUAAUAUCUACUUCACUUUUUUAAACGGCGAUUCUCAAGAAUUUGCCAUGGCUGCAUAAUCCGAACUAUAGUAGGAUAAUGCCUCGGUUCGCAAGGCGAACAAGCUGGCUGUCUCUCAAAAGCCUUGGUUUAUGGCGAUUGAAUUAAAGACACCGUAAAAGUAGACCUAGAAACUGUAGGGUCUUGAUACAGUUUUGAAAUCAAAUUGAGAAUAAGCAGUGCGUUGGUAGUUUUUGGCCGGCAAGCUGACGAAAAUCUAAACAAAAACUAAGCGUGUAGAAAGCUAUUGAAUUACUUGUUUGGACGAGGGUUCGAAUCCCUCCGACUCCACCA